This 253-nucleotide ribosomal RNA is filed under the name uncultured bacterium. Its description in RNAcentral is "partial 16S ribosomal RNA". It matches the Rfam family "Bacterial small subunit ribosomal RNA", at positions 524 to 776 of the family's 1533-position model. The record is from RNAcentral.
UACGAAGGGGGCUAGCGUUGCUCGGAAUCACUGGGCGUAAAGCGCACGUAGGCGGCUUCUUAAGUCAGGGGUGAAAUCCUGGAGCUCAACUCCAGAACUGCCUUUGAUACUGGAGAGCUUGAGUCCGGAAGAGGUGAGUGGAACUCCGAGUGUAGAGGUGAAAUUCGUAGAUAUUCGGAAGAACACCAGUGGCGAAGGCAGCUCACUGGUCCGGUACUGACGCUGAGGUGCGAAAGCGUGGGGAGCAAACAGG